This 293-nucleotide long non-coding RNA is filed under the name Eucalyptus grandis. Its description in RNAcentral is "long non-coding RNA (EGRA_LNC000387)". The record is from RNAcentral. Lineage: Eukaryota; Viridiplantae; Streptophyta; Magnoliopsida; Myrtales; Myrtaceae.
GCAGGGCCAUAUUUUUCAUAUUGAAAUUUAUAACCAAACUUUUAUACAAAACACAAACCAGAGCACUCUACAACUUUUUACUCUAAACUUUAAUCACAUCAAAAAGGAGAUCUCAAAAUAAGAUAAACUCUCAGCCAUCCGGGCCGUACUCAAGGUCCUUCUCGGGAUUAUCUUCUUCUCCCAAAAAUCUUUCUCCUUAAGUUUCACCUCCGAGUUCUCCUUCUCAGACUCCUCCUCAUCACCUCCUCAUCGGGGUCCUAAAAUGUUUUCCCCAAACUGGGAUGAGACUAUGU